UACGUAGGUGGCAAGCGUUGUCCGGAUUUACUGGGCGUAAAGAGCGCGCAGGCGGUCGGAUAAGUCGAAUGUGAAAGCCCCCGGCUCAACUGGGGAGGGUCAUUCGAUACUGUUCGACUCGAAGGCAGGAGAGGGAAGUGGAAUUCCCGGUGUAGUGGUGAAAUGCGUAGAUAUCGGGAGGAACACCGGUGGCGAAGGCGGCUAUCUGGACAGAGUCUGACGCUGAGGCGCGAAAGCUAGGGGAGCAAACAGG
This 253-nucleotide ribosomal RNA is filed under the name uncultured bacterium. RNAcentral's name for it is "partial 16S ribosomal RNA". It matches the Rfam family "Bacterial small subunit ribosomal RNA", at positions 524 to 776 of the family's 1533-position model. The record is from RNAcentral.